CAGCCGCCGCGGAAUACGAAGGGUGCAAGCGUUACUCGGAAUUACUGGGCGUAAAGCGUGCGUAGGUGGUGGUUUAAGUCCGUUGUGAAAGCCCUGGGCUCAACCUGGGAAUUGCAGUGGAUACUGGGUCACUAGAGUGUGGUAGAGGAUAGUGGAAUUUCCGGUGUAGCAGUGAAAUGCGUAGAGAUCGGAAGGAACAUCUGUGGCGAAGGCGACUAUCUGGGCCAACACUGACACUGAGGCACGAAAGCGUGGGGAGCAAACAGGAUUAGAUACCCCGGUAGUCCCUGUCUCUUAUAUA
Molecule: ribosomal RNA, 301 nt
Filed under: uncultured bacterium
Lineage: Bacteria
Description: partial 16S ribosomal RNA
Rfam family: Bacterial small subunit ribosomal RNA
Source: RNAcentral